GUCUCAGUUCGGACUGUGGUCUGCAACCCGACCACACGAAGCUGGAAUCGCUAGUAAUCGCGAAUCUGAAUGUCGCGGUGAAUACGUUCCCGGGUCUUGUACACACCGCCCGUCACACCAUGGGAGUCAGCAACGCCCGAAGUCAGUGACCUAACCGAAAGGGAGGAGCUGCCGAAGGCGGGGCCGGUAACUGGGGUGAAGUCGUAACAAGGUACC
Molecule: ribosomal RNA, 216 nt
Filed under: uncultured bacterium
Lineage: Bacteria
Description: partial 16S ribosomal RNA
Rfam family: Bacterial small subunit ribosomal RNA
Source: RNAcentral